UAGGGCUGCCCAUAUAAACAGGGCAGUUCUGCUGCUAGAGGCCAGGCAACAACAUUGUCUGCCUGUAGGUAUCAUUUGGAGCAAGUCGUGGUGGGUGAGACAGGCAGGUGGCGUGCCUAGAGGCAGGUGGGAGGCCGUUGACAGCUGGCCUGAGAGAAGCCCACUUUGCCACACCUUCAUGUCAGGAUCUGACAGACAUACUUGCUUGUUCCCUGAAUUGCUUCUGGAAACUAAUGUAUACAACAUGCAAGAAUAGCAGCACUGUCCUUUUAGCCAGGAUUUUUAACUGAAUGUCCUGCAGACCACUGAAUCCCAUAGAGCCAGAAAACUGAUCAGGCACAAACUGAUGAGGCCUCUUUGGAUCCAUGAAAUGCUCUGCAGUGACUGAAAUACUCUUUAAGGUUACUUCUGAACCUCAAGCAAACCAACGUACUACUUAUGUUUCCCGUGCAAGCAUUCCUGUAUGAAUAUAAACUGUGUUUAUUACAACCUCACCCCAGUCAGGAGGGAUAGCUCCUCAUGAGUUCUACCAAGUCAGCAAAACAGGUGGCAGGUCAUUACAGAGUGGAGUAAAGAUUCAAUUCUGAAUUGUGAAGGUCCAGCAGUUAGAUGUGGGUGAGAAGCACCAGCCACCUGUGGGGAUGUCUGCAAGGAUGAUGCCACCAUCAGCUGGUGCCCUCUGCAUGCGCCACAACCACCAAGAGUGCACACAGAACCCCUCCCACCUGCUGAAUCACCUGGUCACAGUGGAAGAGGAGUGGCUGGCAGACUUGUGGGCCCGGUGAGCUCAGGACCUGGAGUGGGAGCAGGAGAGGGACUGGGAGGACUGUACCUUCUAGGACAGGCUCCUUGCUCUUGAGGAGAGGCACAUUGCCUUCCUGUGAGCAAUUGCUUGAGGCCUGGGAAUGGCAGGCUGCCAUGGUGGCCAGGGCCAUGGAGGCAGCAGAGGAGGACAGCUGGGUGCUGGACACCAUCCUGGCCCUGGCAGUCACCUUUGUGCCACCUGGCACCCAUCCCCUGGCCUGAGCCCCAUCUGGGACCUGGCAACCACCCAUGGCCCAGCACCUCCCAGCGGGCUUGGGAUGAGGUCCAACACCACCUGCAGCAGCCAAGGCCGCCUGCCUCUGCUCCUGAGCCAGAUCCUGUGGAGGCCUGGCCCCCUGCCUGGGCUGCCUCCCACUGAGCGGGAGCUGCCCACAGCUGGGCCAGCUCAGCAUGGGGAUGCUGCUGGCUCCAGACCUGUGGUGGAGGAAGGGGAGCAGGUUGAGCAGGCGGGGCAGAGCCUGCCCUUGCUCUUGGGUGAGCCUCAAAUCUGUUGGUCUCACUGCAGUGUCCACGCUUGUGGUGGUACCACCAGAGGCCAGGGUGCUGGGCACCUGUUCCCAGGAUCAAUGCCAUAGGUGCCUCCACCCCACUGUUCCCCCCUUUACAGGUCAGAAGGCACAUUGUACAUAGUUGCAUAGGAAGCAGAACCUGUGGUGCACAUUGGGGUUAAGGAGGGGUGUGCUGCU
Molecule: long non-coding RNA, 1511 nt
Organism: Alligator mississippiensis (American alligator)
Lineage: Eukaryota; Metazoa; Chordata; Crocodylia; Alligatoridae
Exons: 4
Source: RefSeq, a predicted model, not a curated record